GACUACCGGGGUAUCUAAUCCUGUUUGCUACCCACGCUUUCGAACCUCAGCGUCAGUUACAGACCAGAGAGCCGCUUUCGCCACUGGUGUUCUUCCAUAUAUCUACGCAUUUCACCGCUACACAUGGAGUUCCACUCUCCUCUUCUGCACUCAAGUCUCCCAGUUUCCAAUGCACUACUCCGGUUAAGCCGAAGGCUUUCACAUCAGACUUAAAAGACCGCCUGCGUUCCCUUUACGCCCAAUAAAUCCGGAUAACGCUUGCCACCUACGUAUUACCGCGGCUGCUGGCACGUAGUUAGCCGUGGCUUUCUGGUUAGAUACCGUCGAAACGUGAACAGUUACUCUCACGCACUUUCUUCUCUAACAACAGGGUUUUACGAUCCGAAGACCUUCUUCACCCACGCGGCGUUGCUCCAUCAGGCUUUCGCCCAUUGUGGAAGAUUCCCUACUGCUGCCCCCCGUAGG
RNAcentral lists this ribosomal RNA (465 nucleotides) under uncultured bacterium. RNAcentral describes it as "partial 16S ribosomal RNA". The record is from RNAcentral.